This 253-nucleotide ribosomal RNA is filed under the name uncultured bacterium. RNAcentral's name for it is "partial 16S ribosomal RNA". It matches the Rfam family "Bacterial small subunit ribosomal RNA", at positions 524 to 776 of the family's 1533-position model. The record is from RNAcentral.
UACAGAGGGUGCGAGCGUUAAUCGGAAUUACUGGGCGUAAAGCGCACGUAGGCGGCUUGGUAUGUCGGGUGUGAAAUCCCCGGGCUCAACCUGGGAACUGCAUCCGAAACUGCCUUGCUCGAGUAUGGGAGAGGGAAGUGGAAUUUCCGGUGUAGCGGUGAAAUGCGUAGAUAUCGAGAGGAACACCAGUGGCGAAGGCGAGUCCCUGGACAGAUCCUGACGCUGAGGCACGAAAGCUAGGGGAGCAAACAGG